This 444-nucleotide long non-coding RNA is filed under the name Rattus norvegicus (Norway rat). RNAcentral describes it as "long non-coding RNA NONRATT007783". Lineage: Eukaryota; Metazoa; Chordata; Mammalia; Rodentia; Muridae. The record is from RNAcentral.
GAUCCGGAAGACUUUUACAACUUUGGUUUGCAAAUGCUGGGAUUAGAGGCAGCAAGAGACAACUGGGGUGACCUGGAGGUGUCUGUGAAGGAUCCUGGGAGCUCCGUGAGAGAAAUGAUCUCUUGCUGGCAGAAUGGCAGAAUGGACUAUUUUGGCUUGCCUUGGAGAGUGGGAGGAGGACUGCGAUCUGGAGGUGUGACAUCUCCAACCAGGUCCUCCACCGUGGUUCUUAGAGUCCUGAGGUGGGGACAACAUCCAGCAACAGUGCAAAAUGUCCCAAGAUCUGGAAAAAUGUUCGUAUCUUUUUUAUUUUUUUCUCCCUCGUGUCUAUGGACAUUUAAAAAAUGAGCAAAAUUAGCAAAUUCGUGGAACUGAAAAAGUAAUGUCCUACAUGCUGUGUGUAUGUGUCCAUGCAAUACGAAUUACAUGCUAUGAAAUUUACCA